This is a long non-coding RNA of Malaclemys terrapin pileata, 1235 nucleotides long. RefSeq lists it as uncharacterized. Lineage: Eukaryota; Metazoa; Chordata; Testudines; Emydidae. The record is from RefSeq and is a predicted model, not a curated record. The transcript is spliced from 3 exons.
UCUGAGGGAAGCCCGGGCGCGGGGCUCCCAGCUCCCCAGGCUGACUACAGCUGUUCUGAGCACGCUGGGGGAGCCCCCACCUCUGGAGCCGGCGCGGGGAGACGGCUGCGUGGCGCUCCCCGCAGAGCCCAGCUUCCGCGCUGAGAGGGGCGCGCGGGGUGCGAGCCUGGAACACGUAGGGGCUGAGUGGGGCCGCGCCUAGGAACCUGGCCCUCUGCCGGGGACACGUGACCGCCUCCUUUCCCGCACGUCACCCAUCCAUCCCCCUUUUCGUAGAUCAGCCUCACGCCGUCACCCACUCACCCGGCUUCUUUUGAGCAGGCGCAGUAGCAGGGCUACGCGCUCUACCGCCCCCGCUGUAGCCCAGGGAGUGGGAGGCUACUUCCGCCCCGCGGAAACGUCACUUCCACCUCCGUGCAUUGCCCUAGUCAGGCUAGGGCUGCCAGCUGAGGCAGCCGGCGCAGCUUCUACUCCCGCCCUAAUAGGUCACUUCCGCCCUUCUUCUGGGCCGGAGGCCGGGCCUAGGGCUGCCCGUGCGCUCAGAGUUGUCGCCGCGUGGCCCCUCCGCAGCGUGUGGGGUGAAGGGAACCGGGUCCUUCUGGCUCGGCGGGUCUUAAGUCCAGCAACCCAAAAGUCACCCAACCUGCAGUUUCUGUCCUUGGUCAGUGCAGCCCCAGCGUUCAGAAGUUCAUCUGCAGCGUUCACCUCCUAGCCUGCGUGGAAGGGGAGAAGUGUGUAUUAUCUCUGAGGUAAAGCCUGUGUGCAAAGGUUCCUGAUCACCUUGAUUCCUCCAGGAAGAUAGUUCCUCAGUCAUGGGCCCCCUACUGACAAAGGUGUCUCCAUCUCUCCCUGGCUUUGCUCUGGGGCCUGUGCACUCUCCGUGGGACAUUUCCAUCAUGGAUGCGGGGGCAGGCCCUGGAGAGCUUUGAAGAUCAGGGCACUGACCUUGGAAGAGGAUGUGGAGUUCAAUGGAGGAAUGGAGCAGCCAGGCUGAGGGACUCUUUUACCAGGGCUGGGCUGCUGUGUUUGGCUUAGCUGGAGUUUUUCCAGGGGUUUCUUGUUCGCUCCCAGGUGCAGGGCAAUGGAUACAGCUCCUCCAAAUGCCUGGAUCUCUCCUAAGAAGAAGCGCCUCUCCUCACUUGGAAUCACCCCUCCCCUAUGGCUUGCUGGGUGAAACUUUUGGGUAUGGAGUGAAUGUGGAGCAAGAGGCACAUUAAACAGCUGCUUAAGCCGUA